CGGCGGACGGGUGAGUAAUGUAUGGGGAUCUGCCUGAUGGCGGGGGAUAACUACUGGAAACGGUAGCUAAUACCGCAUAAUGUCUACGGACCAAAGCGGGGGGACCUCCGGGCCUCGCGCCAUCAGAUGAACCCAUAUGGGAUUAGCUAGUAGGUAAGGUAACGGCUUACCUAGGCGACGAUCCCUAGCUGGUCUGAGAGGAUGACCAGCCACACUGGAACUGAGACACGGUCCAG
Molecule: ribosomal RNA, 236 nt
Filed under: uncultured bacterium
Lineage: Bacteria
Description: partial 16S ribosomal RNA
Rfam family: Bacterial small subunit ribosomal RNA
Source: RNAcentral